AAGGCCUAACACAUGCAAGUCGAGCGAACCCUUCGGGGUUAGCGGCGGACGGGUUAGUAACGCGUGGGAAUAUACCCUUUGGUACGGAAUAGCCUCGGGAAACUGAGAGUAAUACCGUAUGUGCCCUUCGGGGGAAAGAUUUAUCGCCAAAGGAUUAGCCCGCGUUGGAUUAGAUAGUUGGUGGGGUAAUGGCCUACCAAGUCUACGAUCCAUAGCUGGUUUGAGAGGAUGAUCAGCAACACUGGGACUGAGACACGGCCCAGACUCCUACGGGAGGCAGCAGUGGGAAUCUUAGACAAUGGGCGCAAGCCUGAUCUAGCCAUGCCGCGUGGACGAUGAAGGCCUUAGGGUUGUAAAGUCCUUUCAGAUGGGAAGAUAAUGACGGUACCAUCAGAAGAAGCCCCGGCUAACUCCGUG
RNAcentral lists this ribosomal RNA (417 nucleotides) under uncultured bacterium. RNAcentral describes it as "bacterial SSU rRNA". It matches the Rfam family "Bacterial small subunit ribosomal RNA", at positions 43 to 507 of the family's 1533-position model. The record is from RNAcentral.